This 254-nucleotide ribosomal RNA is filed under the name uncultured bacterium. RNAcentral's name for it is "partial 16S ribosomal RNA". It matches the Rfam family "Bacterial small subunit ribosomal RNA", at positions 524 to 776 of the family's 1533-position model. The record is from RNAcentral.
UACGUAGGGUGCGAGCGUUGUCCGGAAUUAUUGGGCGUAAAGAGCUCGUAGGCGGUGUGUCGCGUCGGCCGUGAAAACCUGCAGCUUAACUGUGGGCUUGCGGUCGAUACGGGCAUCACUGGAGUGCGGCAGGGGAGACUGGAAUUCCUGGUGUAGCGGUGAAAUGCGCAGAUAUCAGGAGGAACACCGGUGGCGAAGGCGGGUCUCUGGGCCGUUACUGACGCUGAGGAGCGAAAGCGUGGGGAGCGAACAGG